CAGUGAUAAACUGGAGGAAGGUGGGGAUGACGUCAAGUCAUCAUGGCCCUUACGACCAGGGCUACACACGUGCUACAAUGGCGCAUACAAAGAGAAGCGACCUCGCGAGAGCAAGCGGACCUCAUAAAGUGCGUCGUAGUCCGGAUUGGAGUCUGCAACUCGACUCCAUGAAGUCGGAAUCGCUAGUAAUCGUGGAUCAGAAUGCCACGGUGAAUACGUUCCCGGGCCUUGUACACACCGCCCGUCACACCAUGGGAGUGGGUUGCAAAAGAAGUAGGUAGCUUAACCUUCGGGAGGGCGCUUACCACUUUGUGAUUCAUGACUGGGGUGAAGUCGUAACAAGGUAACCGUAGGGGAACCUGCGGUUGGAUCACCUCCUUACCUUAAAGAAGC
RNAcentral lists this ribosomal RNA (393 nucleotides) under Escherichia coli. Its description in RNAcentral is "bacterial SSU rRNA". It matches the Rfam family "Bacterial small subunit ribosomal RNA", at positions 1153 to 1533 of the family's 1533-position model. RNAcentral also lists the same sequence under 100 other names. The record is from RNAcentral. Lineage: Bacteria; Pseudomonadati; Pseudomonadota; Gammaproteobacteria; Enterobacterales; Enterobacteriaceae.